Molecule: ribosomal RNA, 240 nt
Filed under: uncultured Marinifilum sp.
Lineage: Bacteria; Pseudomonadati; Bacteroidota; Bacteroidia; Marinilabiliales; Marinifilaceae
Description: partial 16S ribosomal RNA
Rfam family: Bacterial small subunit ribosomal RNA
Source: RNAcentral
CACGCUGUAAACUAUGAUUACUCGUUGUUUGUGAUAGACUGUAAGCGACUGCGCGAAAGCAUUAAGUAAUCCACCUGGGGAGUACGUUGGCAACAAUGAAACUCAAAGGAAUUGACGGGGGCCCGCACAAGCGGAGGAACAUGUGGUUUAAUUCGAUGAUACGCGAGGAACCUUACCUGGGCUUAAAUGGGGAGUGACAGUUUUGGAAACAGAAUUUUCUUCGGACACUUUCCAAGGUGC